UCAUUGGUAAAAGGUACUUCA
Molecule: non-coding RNA, 21 nt
Organism: Caenorhabditis elegans
Lineage: Eukaryota; Metazoa; Nematoda; Chromadorea; Rhabditida; Rhabditidae
Source: Ensembl